UACGAAGGGGGCUAGCGUUACUCGGAAUUACUGGGCGUAAAGGGCGCGUAGGCGGCGCUCCAAGUUAGGCGUGAAAGUCCUGGGCUCAACCUGGGAACUGCGCUUAAGACUGGAGUGCUUGAGGAUGGAAGAGGGUCGUGGAAUUCCCAGUGUAGAGGUGAAAUUCGUAGAUAUUGGGAAGAACACCGGUGGCGAAGGCGGCGACCUGGUCCAUUACUGACGCUGAGGCGCGAUAGCGUGGGGGAGCAAACAGG
RNAcentral lists this ribosomal RNA (254 nucleotides) under uncultured bacterium. RNAcentral describes it as "partial 16S ribosomal RNA". It matches the Rfam family "Bacterial small subunit ribosomal RNA", at positions 524 to 776 of the family's 1533-position model. The record is from RNAcentral.